AACAAAAUAUACGCAUAACCAUAAGUAUGUCUUAACUAAAUUUUAAAAACAUCACAAAAAAAGGACUUUAAAACUCUUAGUACAUGUCAUUUAUAACCAACUCAAAAAUGACCACAACUUCUACUGAGAUGAAGCGUAACAGCCCGAUUUAGGGCCUAGUCAGAAUAGUGGUCUCGGGAUCACAAAUUCGAUGUUAGAAAAAUUAUUUUACUAUUAUUUUGAUGUAUUAGCAUGUUU
This 237-nucleotide long non-coding RNA is filed under the name Gossypium barbadense (sea-island cotton). RNAcentral's name for it is "long non-coding RNA (GBAR_LNC003198)". Lineage: Eukaryota; Viridiplantae; Streptophyta; Magnoliopsida; Malvales; Malvaceae. The record is from RNAcentral.